GAUAGAAUGGCCUGGCAGGCCGCAUCUGGUCCCUGGGCCGCAUUUUGCCCACCCCUGCGCUAAACGAAGCCGGUCCCAGUGUCCAGUUGAUGCCCGAAGAAAAAGCUGUUUCCUCGACUCCUCUCGUUGGAACCAGCGCUGCACGUCUCUGGGUCCCUCCUGCUGGAGAUUUAUUUAUGGAAAAUCACUCUACUGGCUCUGAAAAAUGCUGCAGCCUGCAAGGACCAAAAAAAAAUCAAUAAAUAAUUUGGAGGCAGUGAACUCAGUUGGUGGACUGACUCUCCGUGGGCUCCUCACCAUUGCUUGGCAGCUUUCAGUGACGGGUGUAAUGAGCCUGGCUGAAACAUAUGUGAAUAUCUACGGUAAAAGUCCAGGCCCAGGACUGAAGGGCGUAGGAACUGAAGAACGCAUUUGAACACGCUGCAAUGAUGCGAGAAAGGUGGUGAGGAAGGGAAGCAUGCAUCUCCAAAACAGGGGUACAUGUUGCUACAUGAGACUUUUUAAUCAUAUAAUUGUGACCAUAUUUUUGAGACAAAAGAACAUCAAAACUGUACAUCUGCAAUUUGCUCAGAAGAACACACUUCCUAAUGGGGAACAGAACCCGUCUUGAAAAAAUGCACGGGUUCGCCCAAGAAAUUCUACAUGUGCUUGUUAUUUAAACCAGAUUCGGGGGAAAAAAAUGACUCGAGUUGCAUUGCCUUCCUCUUGUGGCCUGGGUACCUCAUAAUACCUGUAAGACAUUUAGAGCUUGACGCUGAUGCUUGGUGUAAGUCAAGAAGAUCUCGAUUGAAAUCAGCUGGUGCAUGGGUGCAAAAACAGUGAGAGACCAGACUCAGGCCCUAAUUAGGUCUGAAAUCCAAUGAAAUUAAUAGGAGAUUCAAUGAAAUGAAUAGGAGAUUCAGCAAGUGGCACAAUCUAAAAGGUCCUUCCAUUUUUUCAAGUGAUUCUAUUUCUAUUAUUACUCUAGUAUGGAUUAUUCUGCUAUUGCUAAGAGAUGCCUGACUACUAACUAAAUAUAUAGAUGAUAACACAGGCUCCACCAGGUCUUUAUAUACUGUAUGUACCAUGUGGUUUGUACAUAUGGAAAGAAUUGAUCAAGUGAUACCUCUCUCCUCACACCUAGUAACCUUAUUGUGCCUGAUAGGAUUCUUGUCUCUGUUUUCUUUCCUGCUGUAAAUCCAGACUUCACACGGUGUAUGAACAGCCAUGGUCAGAGAUCUAAUUGGAAGAGUUAGGGUAGCUCAAUGGACUCUUACGGAUAACGAAGCCCUAAUAGAGUAACAAAUCCUGCCCAUUUGAAACCAGAAUAUCUCCAGAAUGAAGUGACUGUUCAAACAUGGAGAGUUAGGGUAGAUCUGCAAUGGGACCCCGGAGAGCUUGACACGGCACCCUGAAGGUUCAAGUGAUGACCUUCCCCUGCUUUGCACUUUUUUGUGUGGGCAUCCACACCCGAGCACUGUGCGCACGUGACAAUGGUAGCACGUUACAUGCACUUGGGAAUGAUUUUGCAAAAGAUGGCAUGAAACAGCGGAGAAUCAAUUCCUUAUAAAGGAUGGAGCUGGAGCUUGGACAUGCGUGUGAUUUCUAGUUACAAAAAUGUAUUCGAUUUUUUUUAAUCCAAUGCCAGAGGAUUUUCCCGUGCCCAGAGGCUAUGUGCUGGGUUCCCUGCUCUCCACACCGGAGCGAGGAUAUUCCUAGUGUGAAAGGAAAUGUGGGCUUGUGGUUUCCUUCAAGAAAAUCCCUAGCAGGGAAAGGACCAAAAGGGGACAACAAGGGAAAGCAGCACAGACAACACAAGAAAAAUCGAUAGUUAAAAUUAAAAAACUUUGACAAUAGAUCUGGUGUUUAAAAAGGUUAAGCGCUAGAUCAGGGGCGGGCAAUUAUUUUGGGCAGAGGGCUGCUUACUGAGUCUUGGCAAGCCAUCUAGGGCCGCAUGACAGGCAGCCAGGGGGAGAUAAAUAUUAAUUUUCUAAAUUGUUUAAGGGCCCUGCAGGACGGAUAGAACGGCCUAGCGGGCCGCUUCCGGCCCCCAGGCCGCAUUUUGCCCACCCCUGUGCUAGAUCUUAUAACCCCUACUCACAUGGAUGACCAUUUAUGUCCAUAUAUUCACAUUUAAACGAAUAGGACUACUUGUUCACACAGGACUACUUGUUCGCGAGUAAAGCACUCUUCUGGUGAGAACGAACUCGGGCAACUGGCCCCGUCUGUCAAAGCAGCCGCUCUAACGAUGAGCCACGGUGAAGAAAGCCAUUUAGCGAUACCCUAACUUCAAGAAUAAACUCAACAAAGUCCUCCUUUCAGUCCGUAGACUUUUCUAUGCCUUUUUGGCAGGCGAAACAUAGGCAUAGCUUUGUGACUAGCGCUAAUACUGGAGUAGUAAAAUAGUGUUCAAAAAUAGGAAAACCAGACCCAUUUGCUGAUGAAGAAUGAUUUAAUUAAAGUUUCCACCGUUCCAAAGCAGGUAUGUUUCACAUCAUAAAGAAUCGCUGUCAUGAGAAUGAUUUGUUUUAGGGGGAGAAAUAUUUUUUUCCAGCAAACUGUUGACUUCAUUGGUAGGCAAUUAAAUAUUUCGCUUGUUAACUGGA
This is a long non-coding RNA of Alligator mississippiensis (American alligator), 2585 nucleotides long. RefSeq lists it as uncharacterized. Lineage: Eukaryota; Metazoa; Chordata; Crocodylia; Alligatoridae. The transcript has 2 exons. The record is from RefSeq and is a predicted model, not a curated record.